Molecule: ribosomal RNA, 496 nt
Filed under: uncultured delta proteobacterium
Lineage: Bacteria; Deltaproteobacteria
Description: bacterial SSU rRNA
Rfam family: Bacterial small subunit ribosomal RNA
Source: RNAcentral
CCGCAAUGGACGAAAGUCUGACGGAGCAACGCCGCGUGAGUGACGAAGGCUUCGGGUCGUAAAGCUCUGUUGUUAGGGAAGAACAAGUACCGUUCGAAUAGGGCGUACCUUGACGGUACCUAACCAGAAAGCCACGGCUAACUACGUGCCAGCAGCCGCGGUAAUACGUAGGUGGCAAGCGUUGUCCGGAAUUAUUGGGCGUAAAGCGCGCCCAGGCGGUYUUUUAAGUCUGAUGUGAAAGCCCACGGCUCAACCGUGGAGGGUCAUUGGAAACUGGAGGACUUGAGUGCAGAAGAGGAGAGUGGAAUUCCACGUGUAGCGGUGAAAUGCGUAGAUAUGUGGAGGAACACCAGUGGCGAAGGCGGCUCUCUGGUCUGUAACUGACGCUGAGGCGCGAAAGCGUGGGGUUCAAACAGGAUUAGAUACCCUGGUAGUCCACGCCGUAAACGAUGUGUGCUAGGUGUUGGGKUUCCACCCUCAGUGCUGAAGUAACACA